AUGCUUCCUCCUUUGGGAGGUCCUCUCAGACACAGAGAAAAGUCCUCAGCCCGCAGCCCCAUUUCUGCAUUGAUUAACCAAGCUAUGGGGUCUUCUGCGUUAUUUCUCCUGGGCAACAAAAUGGAUCAUGGAGUCAAGUGCUCUGGAAGCAAUGCGUGCAGUACACAGCUUUCCUGCACACGAGGGCAACCCAACAAAAGGUAUUUAUUCACUCACAGCUACCAUCUGCUACCCAGGCUCAGCAUGGAAAACUCUUGCUGCACUUUUUCUGUACAGUUCUGUCUAUGCUGUUUCAUAGUAAGUCCAGUGUUGUCUUGACAUCUUUCCCCACUUUUUGGGUGUUCCUCCUCCCCAGAGCCAGCCAUUGUCCUCUGUUAUGUUAUUUCCUAUGACACACAUUCUGUGUGUGUUUUUCUGCAGGCCAAUACCCGGUUUUCACUUCAGCAAUUUUUCUUCCAGAAUUUCUUACAUUAAGGAAAAGUCUCAUGCAGAUCCACAUCAAAGCUCUGGGAAUCCUCACCUCAGGUCAGUAUUUACAGAGUGGGCUGGGGAUGAACUUUGCAAGAAAUUUGUAUUCAGAAAACUUGAACAGGCACAGCACAGGACUUGGACAGGAUAUAGUAACUUUACACUGUAUUUAUCUUAAUGCCUAUGCUCAGUCUGUCCUAGAUGACCGGCUGUGAAAGGACUUCCAUGAAAGAAAUGGAACAGUGCCUUUUCCGUCAAAGCAGGAUUUAAAUAGGAGCUGAGGAAAAGGUGGGAGGAAGAGAGUCUGGCGUGUGAGAAGAGAGGAUGUUCUUGUCCUCUUCGCAGGCUGCAUCUGAAAGGCAGUGGCAAGAAAGAGCUUAAAUGACAACUUCAGCCUGCACAGCACUCAGGACAAAACCUGGUAUCAAUACAUUAUUGAUUGUAAUGGGAAGAGGUAAGCUUCUUCCUCUCUCCACUUUUUCGAAAUUGGAAGGAAGUCCUGCUGUUGCAUGACCAGGGCAGAGGCACACCAGCUUCAGUGUGUCUGGCACUGGUUUUGACUUGGAAUUAUCAAAUGGCAUGCAGGAUAUAUUUGCAGCAAUGUAUGUCAUUCUUGAAUAUCUUCCCAUCACCUCUCCCACUUCCACUUCUUCAUACUCAAAAUAAUAACUUUAUGACAUACUCAAAAUAAUAACUUUAUGAAUCACUGUUAUUAUAUUACAAUCCCCUAAAAUCAUAUUGGCAGACUAGAUUGAUCUGUCUGUGUAUUUCCCGUAGUCUCAGAAAGCUGUUUUGUAGCAUAUAAAAGGAAAAUGUGAAGAGCUCUGAAAAUACCUUUUGUGGUCUUUUUCUAGUUUCAGUUAUGACAUUCUCAUUCUAGUGUCUCUCCUGACUGUCGAUGGUGCUAGCUGGCUGCACAAAAGUAUAGUAUGUAAUUUUUAAAGAAAGUAGUAUCUUUUGACCCCUACUUUCUUUUGGUGUUGAUGUAGGACAUAACUUUGAGAAUUUUUAGCUCCUUUCUGGAAAGUCUUAAUGGUAUCCCAGGGACAGUGUACUGCCAUGUACAAUACCAAAACACUAAAUCUCUCCAUAUGGAAAUGCAAAAGGCUCUGCCAAAACAGGAACAGAGCAUUUUAAUGUCUUUCUUUGUCUUUUGUGAACUGCCUGGGCUUUUGCUGGAGACAACUGAUGGAGACCUCCUUUCUCGAAAGCACUGACCACUGUUCUAGUCUAAUUGCAGGAGGGUAGAUUGUGUCUAUAUGCCUUUAAAGCAUGUGCCAGGAUGCUAUCAAAAUAUUUCAUGGGCAAAUUAGAUCAAUAAAUUUUGAUGGUGGACAUCA
Long non-coding RNA from Anser cygnoides (Swan goose), 1808 nucleotides. NCBI's taxonomy places the organism in Eukaryota, Metazoa, Chordata, Aves, Anseriformes, Anatidae. The record is from Ensembl.